Molecule: ribosomal RNA, 486 nt
Filed under: Corynebacterium matruchotii
Lineage: Bacteria; Bacillati; Actinomycetota; Actinomycetes; Mycobacteriales; Corynebacteriaceae
Description: bacterial SSU rRNA
Rfam family: Bacterial small subunit ribosomal RNA
Source: RNAcentral
GACGAACGCUGGCGGCGUGCUUAACACAUGCAAGUCGAACGGAAAGGCCCGCAUCAUUUUUUUGGUGGGGGUGCUCGAGUGGCGAACGGGUGAGUAACACGUGGGUGAUCUGCCCUGUACUUCGGGAUAAGCUUGGGAAACUGGGUCUAAUACCGGAUAGGACCAUGGUUUAGUGUCUCAUGGUGGAAAGAUUAUUGUUUUGGUGCAGGAUGAGCUCGCGGCCUAUCAGCUUGUUGGUGGGGUAAUGGCCUACCAAGGCGUCGACGGGUAGCCGGCCUGAGAGGGUGGACGGCCACAUUGGGACUGAGAUACGGCCCAGACUCCUACGGGAGGCAGCAGUGGGGAAUAUUGCACAAUGGGCGCAAGCCUGAUGCAGCGACGCCGCGUGGGGGAUGACGGCCUUCGGGUUGUAAACUCCUUUCGUUAGGGACGAAGCCGCACCUUUUUUUGGGUGUGGUGACGGUACCUUUGUUAAGAAGCACGGCU